CAAUAGCGUAUAUUUAAGUUGUUGCAGUUAAAAAGCUCGUAGUUGGAUUUCGGUUAAGAGCGACCGGUCCGCCGUUUGGUGUGCACUGGUUGGUUUUAACUUCCUGUAGAGGACGUGCUCUGGGUUUAACGACCUGGACUCGGAGUCUACGUGGUUACUUUGAAAAAAUUAGAGUGUUCAAAGCGGGCUUACGCUUGAAUAUUUCAGCAUGGAAUAACACUAUAGGACUCCUGUCCUAUUUCGUUGGUCUCGGGACGGGAGUAAUGAUUAAGAGGAACAGUUGGGGGCAUUCGUAUUUCAUUGUCAGAGGUGAAAUUCUUGGAUUUAUGAAAGACGAACUUCUGCGAAAGCAUUUGUCAAGGAUGUUUUCAUUA
RNAcentral lists this ribosomal RNA (374 nucleotides) under uncultured eukaryote. RNAcentral describes it as "partial 18S ribosomal RNA". It matches the Rfam family "Eukaryotic small subunit ribosomal RNA", at positions 592 to 975 of the family's 1831-position model. The record is from RNAcentral.